CCAAAUUUGCAUAACUGGUUGCCUCCUUCACAUCCAAAUAUUCCUAGCGCCAUAUCCAGUAACUGGUGACAAAGCUGAGCAGCGCUUCGUUCACGUUCCUCACCUCGAAGAGUUGUCCAAGUUCAGUGAAUUAAGUGUUGUGUUUUACCAGCACACUUUCAUAAAAAUCCCGUCCAGUAUGAAACUCCAAUUUUUGCUGGUGCUUUUGGGGUUGUUUUUCCUUGGAGUGAAUGCUGCCGCCAGAGUCACAUCCCAUAAAUGUUCCUCAAACGUUGACUGUGCCGCGAAGUGUAUGACAAGAGAACUAUCGAGGUGCUCGGCAUCAAGGUGCGAAUGUCAACCCUAUUAAAGGCUACAUUUAUUCACCAUACCAUUCAUUAUGUUUAGACUUCAAGCCCCUGCAAAAUCCUAGAUCAGGCAUGGAAAUUUAUUGAUUCUGGAACUCGCCCUCGCACCGAUACUUCUGACAAGAUGAUACUCAUGAACAGCGGCUAAUUGCGAAAGGUCAAAUGAUGGAUUUCGUGGGGAUACUGGCUGUGAUAUGUACAAUUAGUGUGACCCUUGCAAUGGGCUUUACCGGAGGCGAUGACAGGUUCAUGAAAAAAUACGCUAUGAUGAAAGUGUAUGAAAGCUGUUUCGGAGCGGAGGUAGUGAAGGAGGUGCGGAAAGAGAUGAAAUUGGCGACGGCCAAGUGCAACGGCAUGAUGCCAACCACGUCUUCCAUCUACUCCUAUCAACCAUCAAACAAGCAUCAAACGCAAGCGCAAAUUGCCGCUGCACUUCACUCCAGCUCUCCGCUGAGGUUGGGCUCCUCGAAGCCUUCAAAUUCUGAUUUCUACACACAAGCGACAGCGUACAACGUGGCUCAACAACGACCGGUGUCCGCGUCACCAUCCAACAGUGAAUCCAGCGUGCAACACCUCCUCCAGCAGGCGUCCAACUCCCUCACCGGAAAUGGAAAUGAUCCGCUCAAAUCUGGUGGGAUCGACCUCAACAAAUUGCAGCAGGUCAUUCUGUCCGGCAUCAACAAGCAGUCACAGCAACAGCAACAACAACAACAGCAGCAGCAGGUGCAACAACCAUUGUUUAACUCGGCCUUGCUCCAACGGCCCUCGUACCAGACAGCAGCGGCGUCCCAACUGCGGCCGUACGUGCAACAGCCUUUACAACAGCCGUUGCAACAGCCCCUGCAACAGCCUCUGCAACAAUUUUCUCAAUAUCAGCAGCCGUUGCAGAACCCCAAUCUUUUAUAUCAAAACCCUGCACCUCUGACCAACGACCUGUUCCAGGCGCAGCAGCAAUCACUCUUCGGACCUCAGCAACCUUUGCAGCAGUACAACAACCCAUUCCUUUACCAGAGUCCUUUCUACAACCCAUACUUUUCCGCCAGAGCAUCGCGCGAUUUGGAUGUUAAAGGACAACUCGAGACACUGACGGCUAAAUUGACCGGAAAAGUAAAGAAUGUUACUUGUGUUAUGCAAGAAUUAGGAUACUUAGAUUCAAAUUUGGAGCCGGAUUAUGUAAAAAUGGUAGAGAGGAUAAACCGACUGCCAAUAUCGGAAGAGCUGAAAAGGGAUAUGGCUGAAGGCGUCGAAUACUGCCGGCAGUUUUCGCAAUGCGUGCCAGACUCGAGGAAAGACAAGCUAGCGAAAGAAAUGCUCCGACCUAUGUUCUUCUUCCGAUGUUAUAAGCAUAAAAAACUUGAGGCGUGUAUCAUGAAAGAUAUAAGAGAAAGGUAUUCCAACGGGAACGAAGAUUUCCUGGACGAGAACGUGCUGGGAGGCGGUGGCGACAUGCGCUCUAUGAAAAGCAGAAACCAGACUUUGGACGACGAACACAUGGAAGUAGCCAUUUAUGAGUUCCUUUACGGGGGUGACACUGCCCAGCUCGACUCACUUCUUUAG
RNAcentral lists this long non-coding RNA (1904 nucleotides) under Bemisia tabaci. Its description in RNAcentral is "lncRNA ENSSSA3NGG006979". The record is from RNAcentral. Lineage: Eukaryota; Metazoa; Arthropoda; Insecta; Hemiptera; Aleyrodidae.